RNAcentral lists this ribosomal RNA (253 nucleotides) under uncultured bacterium. RNAcentral describes it as "partial 16S ribosomal RNA". It matches the Rfam family "Bacterial small subunit ribosomal RNA", at positions 524 to 776 of the family's 1533-position model. The record is from RNAcentral.
UACAGAGGGGGCUAGCGUUAUUCGGAAUUAUUGGGCGUAAAGGGCGUGUAGGCGGUUCGUUAAGUCUGAUGUGAAAGCCCCGGGCUCAACCUGGGAAGUGCAUUGGAAACUGGCGAACUUGAGCACGGGAGAGGGCAGUGGAAUUCCUAGUGUAGGAGUGAAAUCCGUAGAUAUUAGGAGGAACACCGGUGGCGAAGGCGGCUGCCUGGACCGAUACUGACGCUGAGACGCGAAAGCGUGGGGAGCAAACAGG